RNAcentral lists this ribosomal RNA (377 nucleotides) under uncultured bacterium. RNAcentral's name for it is "bacterial SSU rRNA". It matches the Rfam family "Bacterial small subunit ribosomal RNA", at positions 521 to 896 of the family's 1533-position model. The record is from RNAcentral.
UAAUACGAAGGGUGCAAGCGUUACUCGGAAUUACUGGGCGUAAAGCGUGCGUAGGUGGUGAGUUAAGUCUGUCGUGAAAGCCCCGGGCUCAACCUGGGAAUGGCGAUGGAUACUGGCUCGCUAGAGUGCGGUAGAGGGUGGUGGAAUUCCCGGUGUAGCAGUGAAAUGCGUAGAGAUCGGGAGGAACAUCAGUUGCGAAGGCGGCCACCUGGACCAGCACUGACACUGAGGCACGAAAGCGUGGGGAGCAAACAGGAUUAGAUACCCUGGUAGUCCACGCCCUAAACGAUGCGAACUGGACGUUGGGAGCAACUAGGCUCUCAGUGUCGAAGCUAACGCGUUAAGUUCGCCGCCUGGGGAGUACGGUCGCAAGACUG